GCUAAUUUGCUGACGAGCGGCGGACGGGUGAGUAAUGCCUAGGGAACUGCCCAGUCGAGGGGGAUAACAGUUGGAAACGACUGCUAAUACCGCAUACGCCCUACGGGGGAAAAGAGGGGACCUUCGGGCCUUCUGCGAUUGGAUGUACCUAGGUGGGAUUAGCUAGUUGGUGAGGUAAUGGCUCACCAAGGCGACGAUCCCUAGCUGUUCUGAGAGGAUGAUCAGCCACACUGGGACUGAGACACGGCCCAGACUCCUACGGGAGGCAGCAGUGGGGAAUAUUGCACAAUGGGCGCAAGCCUGAUGCAGCCAUGCCGCGUGUGUGAAGAAGGCCUUCGGGUUGUAAAGCACUUUCAGCGAGGAGGAAAGCUUAAGCGUUAAUAGCGUUUAGGUGUGACGUUACUCGCAGAAGAAGGACCGGCUAACUUCGUGCCAGCAGCCGCGGUAAUACGAGGGGUCCAAGCGUUAAUCGGAAUUACUGGGCGUAAAGCGUACGCAGGCGGUUUGUUAAGCGAGAUGUGAAAGCCCCGGGCUCAACCUGGGAAUAGCAUUUCGAACUGGCAAACUAGAGUCUUGUAGAGGGGGGUAGAAUUUCAGGUGUAGCGGUGAAUGCGUAGAGAUCUGAAGGAAUACCGGUGGCGAAGCGGCCCCUGGACAAGACUGACGCUCAGGUACGAAGCGUGGGGAGCAACAGGAUUAGAUACCUGGUAGUCCACGCCGUAACGAUGUCUACUCGGAAUUGGUGUCUUGAACACUGGGUUCCCAGCUAACGCAUUAAGUAACCGCCUGGGGAGUACCGCCGCAGGUUAAACUCAAUGAAUGACGGGGGCCGCACAGCGGUGGAGCAUGUGGUUAUUCGAUGCAC
Molecule: ribosomal RNA, 865 nt
Filed under: Shewanella algidipiscicola
Lineage: Bacteria; Pseudomonadati; Pseudomonadota; Gammaproteobacteria; Alteromonadales; Shewanellaceae
Description: bacterial SSU rRNA
Rfam family: Bacterial small subunit ribosomal RNA
Source: RNAcentral